CGUAUCCCGAGGACGAGCGUGCACAUUCGAGGCAGGGGGGCUACGACCCUUCUACAUACCAGUUCUAGUAGCUUAGCGGGUUUUGGUGGUUUUCUCGGAGGACGUCCCGGCAUUCUGACAGAUACUCACCUACGUAGGGUCACCUCCGGGUGUACUUUGGUUGUAUUGUUUCUUUUGGACUGCUGUAGGCCUUAGGCUCUGAAUUAAGCAUCUUACUUUUACUGGCACAUACUUAUCACAUUACAUUGGCUGGUUUUAAAUUAUUCGCACUUUUAUAUUAC
Molecule: long non-coding RNA, 281 nt
Organism: Pyrus x bretschneideri (Chinese white pear)
Lineage: Eukaryota; Viridiplantae; Streptophyta; Magnoliopsida; Rosales; Rosaceae
Exons: 2
Source: RefSeq, a predicted model, not a curated record